UUCUCUAUUCCAGCUAGUAAGUUGCCCGUGCAUUCCUUCAAACUGAGAUGAGAUUGGCUGAGAGUGACGGAUUUCAUGAGACAGAAAUAACCAAAACAAGUAGCUAUGUGGUAAAUGCUUUCCAAGAGCCUGCUUAGUGACCAUGGCAUGUUAAAUUAAUUUUGUAUGGUACGUGUCCUAUACAGUAGACGUAUACACUGUAUAUACGUAUGAGCAGAUUUGUGCACAGUUAAAGGCUAAUCGAAAUCUAUAACCAAUCGCAUAAAGAAUGAAGUGGACCCUUCUCAUCCUCACUCUGGCUGUGUCCAUGGUAAGAGCAAAAUAUAAUGAUGAAGAAACUGAAAUAAACUCCUUCAUUGAGUCACUGCUACAGACAGCCAAACAGCAAGCAGGGGGAUGCAGCAAUUGUUUGACUGAAAUUGACAUCUUUGUUCAGACGUCAAGUGUUGAUAAUGCUCAGACGGCAGGAUCACAUGAUGUUGAAAUCUCAUUUGUAGGCGGAGAAAAACAAAAGUUUAGCCUGACCAAUAUUCCGAAAAAAAGUCAAGCAAAACUUUACAACUUCGCUCUUACAGAUUGUUUCACCAUUUUCGAUCCUACUAACAUAACAGUGAUUGCAGUAAACACUGAUGGGUGGAAUAUCGAAACAAUCGUUACAACUUUCGCUGAUGACAAAGGCCGCACCUACUCAGGCUCUAUCAAUAGGAAGGUCAAUCGCUGGGUCGAUCAUGAGAAUAGGCCAGAACAGGAGAGAUUUGUCCUGGCUUUGAAAAACCACGGCUAAGCAGAUUGUAGAGUGAAGAUUGUAAAAAGCGGAGGACGUGCUAGCUAGAACUUAUAAUUAUAUACUUGUUAGUAAAAACUACAGCAAAAAGUAACUUGAUUAAUUAAUGUGUAUGAUUAUACCUAUUUUGUUAUG
Halichondria panicea is the source of this 919-nucleotide long non-coding RNA. RefSeq lists it as uncharacterized. NCBI's taxonomy places the organism in Eukaryota, Metazoa, Porifera, Demospongiae, Suberitida, Halichondriidae. The transcript is spliced from 2 exons. The record is from RefSeq and is a predicted model, not a curated record.